This 292-nucleotide ribosomal RNA is filed under the name uncultured bacterium. RNAcentral describes it as "partial 16S ribosomal RNA". RNAcentral also lists the same sequence under 1 other name. The record is from RNAcentral.
GGACUACUGGGGUAUCUAAUCCUGUUUGCUCCCCACGCUUUCGUGCCUCAGCGUCAAUUAACAUGUAGUAAGCUGCCUUCGCUAUCGGUGUUCUAUGUCAUAUCUAAGCAUUUCACCGCUACAUGACAUAUUCCGCUUACCUCCAUGAUAUUCAAGAUAAAUAGUAUCAACGGCAGUUUCCGAGUUAAGCCCGGAGAUUUCACCACUGACUUACUUAUCCGCCUACGCACCCUUUAAACCCAGUGAAUCCGGAUAACGCUUGCACCCUCCGUAUUACCGCGGCGGCUGGCAC